AUUGAACGCUGGCGGCAGGCUUAACACAUGCAAGUCGAGCGGAGUGAUGGUGCUUGCACUAUCACUUAGCGGCGGACGGGUGAGUAAUGCUUAGGAAUCUGCCUAUUAGUGGGGGACAACAUCUCGAAAGGGAUGCUAAUACCGCAUACGUCCUACGGGAGAAAGCAGGGGAUCACUUGUGACCUUGCGCUAAUAGAUGAGCAUAAGUCGGAUUAGCUAGUUGGUGGGGUAAAGGCCGACCAAGGCGACGAUCUGUAGCGGGGCUGAGAGGAUGAUCCGACACACUGGGACUGAGACACGGCCCAGACUCCUACGGGAGGAAGCAGUGGGGAAUAUUGGACAAUGGGGGGAACCCUUAUCCAGCCAUGCCGCGUGUGUGAAGAAGGCCUUAUGGUUGUAAAGCACUUUAAGCGAGGAGGAGGCUCUUUUGGUUAAUACCCGAGAUGAGUGGACGUUACUCGCAGAAUAAGCACCGGCUAACUCUGUGCCAGCCGCCGCGGUAA
This 503-nucleotide ribosomal RNA is filed under the name uncultured bacterium. RNAcentral's name for it is "partial 16S ribosomal RNA". It matches the Rfam family "Bacterial small subunit ribosomal RNA", at positions 30 to 523 of the family's 1533-position model. The record is from RNAcentral.